AGCCCUCCGUAUCCGUGCUCAGAUUUCGUCACACACCACACCACAAGGGUUGAUCAGACUUCCAAGAUAAGUGAAGCG
RNAcentral lists this microRNA precursor (78 nucleotides) under Schistosoma curassoni. RNAcentral describes it as "mir-3492 microRNA precursor family". It matches the Rfam family "mir-3492 microRNA precursor family". The record is from Rfam by way of RNAcentral. Lineage: Eukaryota; Metazoa; Platyhelminthes; Trematoda; Strigeidida; Schistosomatidae.